AGUGAACGCUGGCGGUAGGCCUAACACAUGCAAGUCGAACGGCAGCACAGUAAGAGCUUGCUCUUACGGGUGGCGAGUGGCGGACGGGUGAGGAAUACAUCGGAAUCUACUUUUUCGUGGGGGAUAACGUAGGGAAACUUACGCUAAUACCGCAUACGACCUACGGGUGAAAGCAGGGGAUCUUCGGACCUUGCGCGAUUGAAUGAGCCGAUGUCGGAUUAGCUAGUUGGCGGGGUAAAGGCCCACCAAGGCGACGAUCCGUAGCUGGUCUGAGAGGAUGAUCAGCCACACUGGAACUGAGACACGGUCCAGACUCAUACGGGAGGCAGCAGUGGGGAAUAUUGGACAAUGGGCGCAAGCCUGAUCCAGCCAUACCGCGUGGGUGAAGAAGGCCUUCGGGUUGUAAAGCCCUUUUGUUGGGAAAGAAAAGCAGAAGGUUAAUACCCCGCUGUUCUGACGGUACCCAAAGAAUAAGCACCGGCUAACUUCGUG
This 492-nucleotide ribosomal RNA is filed under the name uncultured bacterium. RNAcentral describes it as "partial 16S ribosomal RNA". It matches the Rfam family "Bacterial small subunit ribosomal RNA", at positions 29 to 507 of the family's 1533-position model. The record is from RNAcentral.